This 73-nucleotide transfer RNA is filed under the name Cordylochernes scorpioides. RNAcentral describes it as "tRNA-Thr". It matches the Rfam family "tRNA". From Rfam's summary of the family: Transfer RNA (tRNA) molecules are approximately 80 nucleotides in length. Their secondary structure includes four short double-helical elements and three loops (D, anti-codon, and T loops). Further hydrogen bonds mediate the characteristic L-shaped molecular structure. tRNAs have two regions of fundamental functional importance: the anti-codon, which is responsible for specific mRNA codon recognition, and the 3' end, to which the tRNAs corresponding amino acid is attached (by aminoacyl-tRNA synthetases). tRNAs cope with the degeneracy of the genetic code in two manners: having more than one tRNA (with a specific anti-codon) for a particular amino acid; and 'wobble' base-pairing, i.e. permitting non-standard base-pairing at the 3rd anti-codon position. The record is from RNAcentral. Lineage: Eukaryota; Metazoa; Arthropoda; Arachnida; Pseudoscorpiones; Chernetidae.
UCCAGGGUAGCCUAGUGGACAUGGCAUCUGUCCGGUAAGCGGAACGCUGUGGGUUCGAUUCCCAUCCUUGGAC